This 878-nucleotide ribosomal RNA is filed under the name uncultured bacterium. Its description in RNAcentral is "bacterial SSU rRNA". It matches the Rfam family "Bacterial small subunit ribosomal RNA", at positions 8 to 917 of the family's 1533-position model. The record is from RNAcentral.
AGAGUUUGAUCCUGGCUCAGGAUGAACGCUGGCGGUGUGCCUUAGGCAUGCAAGUCGAACGAUAAUCCUUCGGGAUUAUAGUGGCGGACGGGUGAGUAACGCGUAGGAACCUACCCCUUGGCGGGGAAUAGCCAGCCGAAAGGUUGGGUAAUACCGCAUAAUCUCUUCGGAGCAAAGAGCAUAACUGCUCACCGAGGGAGGGGCCUGCGUACUAUCAGCUUGUUGGUGAGGUAACGGCUCACCAAGGCGACGACGGGUAUUGGGCGUGAGAGCGUGACCCAACACAUCGGGACUGAGACACGGCCCGGACACCUACGGGUGGCUGCAGCAACGAAUAUUCCGCAAUGGACGCAAGUCUGACGGAGCGACGCCGCGUGCAGGAAGAAGUCCCUCGGGAUGUAAACUGCUGUCAGGGGUUAGGAAUAAAUUGACCAACCCCACAGGAAGCACUGGCUAACUCCGUGCCAGCAGCCGCGGUAAUACGGAGAGUGCAAGCGUUGUUCGGAAUUACUGGGCUUAAAGAGCGUGUAGGCGGGAUGUCAGGUGCCUUGUGAAAGCCCCGGGCUCAACCCGGGAAUGGCUGGGCAAACCGACAUUCUUGAGGCAGGUAGAGGUGACUGGAACGACUGGUGGAGCGGUGAAAUGCGUAGAUAUCAGUUGGAACGCCGGAGGCGAAAGCGGGUCACUGGGCCUGUCCUGACGCUGAGACGCGAAAGCGUGGGUAGCGAACAGGAUUAGAUACCCUGGUAGUCCACGCCCGUAAACGAUGCGCACUAGGUAUGGGGAAGGUUCUGACACCGAUCGUGCCGAAGCAAAAGUGAUAAGUGCGCCGCCUGGGGAGUACGGCCGCAAGGCUAAAACUCAAAGGAAUUGACGGG